Salvelinus sp. IW2-2015 is the source of this 457-nucleotide non-coding RNA. The record is from RefSeq and is a predicted model, not a curated record. Lineage: Eukaryota; Metazoa; Chordata; Actinopteri; Salmoniformes; Salmonidae.
CAUUAUCUCUCUCGCGGUAUAAUUUCUCCCCCCCCUCACUCCCGAUAUGCUGUUGCGCAAAAGCAGACACUGCAGGGAAGAACACAGCAAGUGAAGGCUAGCCACCGGCAUCCCCCCUUUUCUCUGUCUUUGUCCCUCUCUCACUCUCUUAAAGAGAUCUCUGCUUACCCUUCCAUCACCACCCAUCAUCUCCACCGUCUGAGCCAGGUUGGGGUUAGCUAAACUGGGCAUUGGCAAAGGACAAAGAGGUAAGAGGUCAUAGGUGAGAGCGUGACCCCACAGCAGGCGUUCCAUCCCGCCACGCUCCCCUCCUCGUGACCUCAUGUAUCCUGAAUCCAACCAGGACUCGCCGGCGCGCCUCUCCCAUAAACAACAUGCAUCCCCUGGCAUGAUCUACAGUGCUCGGUAUGGGAGCCAUGGAGUCCCAGCAAGCGACAGCUGCAGUACUACAGGUACA